RNAcentral lists this non-coding RNA (21 nucleotides) under Caenorhabditis elegans. Lineage: Eukaryota; Metazoa; Nematoda; Chromadorea; Rhabditida; Rhabditidae. The record is from RNAcentral.
UUUUCCAGCAAUUCAACCAUU